Long non-coding RNA from Papaver somniferum (opium poppy), 772 nucleotides. RefSeq lists it as uncharacterized. Lineage: Eukaryota; Viridiplantae; Streptophyta; Magnoliopsida; Ranunculales; Papaveraceae. The transcript is spliced from 3 exons. The record is from RefSeq and is a predicted model, not a curated record.
CGUUGGAGGUUUCUCCAACAGAUGCAACUCUACUAUCCAAUAGGAGUGCCUGUUAUGCAUGUUUGCGAGACGGACCUGAAGCAUUAAGGGAUGCAACUGAAUGCAUAUCUUUAAGGCCUGAUUGGCCAAAGGCAUACUACAGGGCAGGCGUAGCGCUCAACAUUCUGAAAAGGUUCCGCGAAGCAGCAGAUGUCUUUUUUAAGGGUUUGACGCUGGAUCCUGAAAACAACGAUCUUGUAGAUGCAUUCAGGGCUGCUAAUGAAGCCAGAUUGAAGUCGAUCAUCCUACAACCGUAGGAAGAAGUAAGAUGGUGAUGAUAGUAGACUGACAAUAUCAUCUCGACCAGAAGACACAUUUUGUGGCCAACUUUUGUAUAGGAAGUACUGAAUGGGGUUUUGCUAAGAUUCUUAACUAUUGGCGCCAUAUGGAUUUUACUUUACAAUAGUUAUGUAGUACUUUCCUAUUCCACUUGGAAUUUUGUUGAUGAAGAAAACUCUAAAACUUAUGCCACUAGUAGGUGUGUAAUUAAGUUUCAGUUGCUAUCUUACUUCUGACAUCCUAGGCGCCAUCCCUGCUUUACCUCUUCCUUUUUUUUUGAUUCUCCAGAGUUUUUGGAUACUUAAUGUGGACUUUGCAACUGAAGGCUUUGAUCCUUCUUUGCAUUGAACACGUGUUUUUGAUUGGUACUGCAAUGCUAUGGGAUGGUAAGGGACUGUAUGUACAUGCCUACACUGUGUUUAUCUGCUAUUCAGGAGAUAAUAAAGCACUAGAA